Molecule: transfer RNA, 66 nt
Filed under: Daphnia tibetana
Lineage: Eukaryota; Metazoa; Arthropoda; Branchiopoda; Diplostraca; Daphniidae
Description: tRNA-Tyr
Rfam family: tRNA
About the family: Transfer RNA (tRNA) molecules are approximately 80 nucleotides in length.
Source: RNAcentral
GGUUUAAUGGCCGAGUUCAGGCACUAGAUUGUAAAUCUAAUUACGGGACUUAUGUUCCUUAAGCCA